RNAcentral lists this long non-coding RNA (1046 nucleotides) under Vulpes vulpes (red fox). RNAcentral's name for it is "lncRNA (ENSVVUG00000012903.1)". The record is from RNAcentral. Lineage: Eukaryota; Metazoa; Chordata; Mammalia; Carnivora; Canidae.
AAAUUACCACAAACUGGGUUACUUAAAAAGACAAAGUUUAUUUUCUCACAGAUUUGAAGGUCAGAAGUCUGAAAUCAAAGUGGGAGCCAUCCUCCCUCCCCAAGGCCCUAGCUCCUAGUGACUCCUGGCAAUCCUUGGUGUUUCUUGGUUUAUUCUGCAUCACUCCAAUCUCUGCUUCCAUCUAACCAUGGCAUUCUUUCCUGUAUCUCUGUUUCCUCUGUGCCUGGGUAUCUCUGUGCCCAAAUCUCCCUGUCCUUUCUUUGAUAAGGGUUCCUAUCAUUGGGUUUCAUGCCCACCCUAAAACCAGGAUGAUUUUAUCUAAAAAUUUUUAAUAAAUUACUACACCUGCACAGAUCCAAUUUCCAAAUAAAGUAACAUACUGGGAGGACAAUAUUCAACCCGCUACUAUGAUCAUGAUGAUGUCACAAUCUUGCAUUAUUUCAUGCCUUAAAAGUUGUCAGACAGAUCAGUUGUAGAGGGGAAGACCUACUGGGGUGAUUGGCCAAAAAUGUGGAGACCUCAGGAUAUGGCACAGGAAGUGAUCUUGGUCCUUGCAUGACAUGGCAGACGGACCUGCAGCAGCCUCAUAGCCUUGCAUGGCUUACAGCAUCCCCUGGCUCUGAUAUGCAUGGGAACAGAAUCAGCAAGUUCUACCCUAAUAUCAAAACUGAAUCACCAGCUACUAGACUAGACCACAGAACAGGUGCUUUUCUGUGUGAUUUGCAGGAAAUUCUCCCACCAGAGACCCGUAUUAUGCCUGGCAUACAGGAGGCAUUCAGAAAAUUUGAUGACUAGAAGUGUGUGUCCAUCUCAAUGACACAGGAAGCUGCCUCAGAAGGACAUAUUUGACAUUAUAUCACUUGUUGAUGACAACUGGGUAUCACAACUAGACAGAAAAGAAGAUGAAUGGAUCUCAAUCCUUCCUAUUCAGAGAGGACUGAAGUGUGAAGUGCCUAUCAGCACCUCCUCUGGCUGAACCCUUGGACCCUAAACCCAAGUCAGUGACUUUUCCCAACCUCCCAGGGAACUGCAUUCUCUUCAGGCUG